CUACGUGCCAGCAGCCGCGGUAAUACGGGGGGUGCGAGCGUUAAUCGGAAUAACUGGGCGUAAAGGGCACGCAGGCGGUGACUUAAGUGAGAUGUGAAAGCCCCGGGCUUAACCUGGGAAUUGCAUUUCAUAUUGGGUCGCUAGAGUACUUUAGGGAGGGGUAGAAUUCCACGUGUAGCGGUGAAAUGCGUAGAGAUGUGGAGGAAUACCGAAGGCGAAGGCAGCCCCUUGGGAAUGUACUGACGCUCAUGUGCGAAAGCGUGGGGAGCAAACAGGAUUAGAUACCCUGGUAGUCCACGCUGUAAACGAUGUCGAUUUGGGGAUUGGGCUUUGAGCUUGGUGCCCGUAGCUAACGUGAUAAAUCGACCGCCUGGGGAGUACGGCCGCAAGGUUAAAACUCAAAUGAAUUGACGGGGGCCCGCACAAGCGGUGGAGCAUGUGGUUUAAUUCGAUGCAACGCGAAGAACCUUACCUACUCUUGACAUCCAUGGAAUCUUGUAGAGAUACGAGAGUGC
RNAcentral lists this ribosomal RNA (515 nucleotides) under uncultured bacterium. RNAcentral's name for it is "bacterial SSU rRNA". It matches the Rfam family "Bacterial small subunit ribosomal RNA", at positions 501 to 1017 of the family's 1533-position model. The record is from RNAcentral.